UAUAAAAGCACAACCGCUGCUGCAGCCUCCAUUGUGAUCUACAAAUCUACAGGCAUAAUGGUUUCCAACGCUAUGACCGCGUCCUUCUUGAUCGCGUUCCCGGUCAGGUUUUGGGUGGUUCUAUCGCUUCCUCAGCCCUCCAAUUUCCCGGACGGUCAAAAUCAUCCCACCCACAGUAUCUUUGCCGUAGCCUCGCGGCGGAGCAUCCAAAGACCAGGAUCUAUCGCUUGCCGAUGCUCGCAAAGUCCAGCCCCGCGCUCUUGGCCCCUGCUACUUUAUUAAUUUUGCUUUGAUAGAUUAUCCCAUAUUGUUAAGAGGCAUAUAGUUGCUUAGCCCACGAGUCAUACCUUGAUUGAGUUGAACGGAAAGUGCGCUACUCAUCCAAUCCACUCCGAUGCACCAAAGCCGGCUCUCCAAGCUCCUCAAAUCAGAAAAAAAAAUGGGAGUACCGUUCAAUAACGGCUGGUUCGCUCUGAGGGGCAAUUGCAUCAAAAAUUGUGUACGGUGGAGAUUGACGCGAAGGCAAAAACAGGCAAGGCGGCGGCGGGGGCUGCCGGAAGCGAGGGUCGGGCGCAGCUGCCGAUGCAAGGCCAGGAACCGGUGGCUUGGGAGAAGCAUAGGGUCUGCACGACCCAUCGGGCUUUGGAAGCAGAGAUGGAAAACCUCCGGCAGAUGUUUAUGGCCGUACUCGAGUUGCCAGAGGAGCCAAUAGAAGCAUCGCGAAGGGAGUAGGACAGCCUAGCUGUGGUGGUCCGAAGCUUCGGUCGGCGAGUGCUGGCGGACUAGGUGGCCAAGGACUUGGAGGCCCGAGGAAAAAUGAAAGUGGAGAUGGUGCUUGUGCCUCUCGUCGACGACCACCUCACUCUAAGGUUUAGAUCAACGACGGAUCGGGACCGAGCCCUCACCGGAGGUCCGUGGGAGGUAGCGGGCUAGCUUCUGGCCAUGGAGCCAUAGGUGCCCAACUUCGUACAGGGGUUGGAUGCCAUAGAAACGGUAUUGGUGUGGAUCUGGUUCCCCCGGCUGCCGUGAAGACGUCAUAAAUUCUGUAGUGUAUAAAUUUUCAACAAAAAUUAUUUUCGUUGUUAAUUAUCUAAUUAACUAUUAACAAUGAUAAUAUUUCAAAGUUAAACAUAGUGUUUUUUGAUAACAUAUAUAUUUUUAUUACAGAAUACUAAUUAUUUAACGAUGAAUUAGAUUUUAUCACCUAUAUAUCCUUGUAUAACUUUUAUGAUGCAAUAGUUUUCAUUGCAAAUCAUUCAUAUACUAAUUAAUAGGCGAUGUAUAACAUUACAUGCGCGAGGACUUCCUGGGUACAAAUUAAGGAGAGUGGGUCAAACACGAUAGGUAGGUACAGCCAUCCGAGCUAUAAUUUUCUUGGCAUGAGCGAAGACUUCUUUGCUGCAUGGAGAGCUGGUCAAACACGAUUGGUUGGUGCAGCGGUCCCACCUACGAUUGUCCGACCAAUGAAAAUGUGAGACGCGGGCCUCCUGCAUGAAAUUCUGUAAUCAGGUUAAAGAUUCGUUCCUUCCUCUGUGGGAAAAACGUCGUCAUCAGGCUGAAUGUAUCUGUGUGCUUAUUAGUCCCAUCCUUGUCGAAGUCCAAUAUGGCUAAAGAUUCGUUCCUUGCCCUUCGGUGCCAUAAUUCCAGUAACCUCUUCCUUGCUUGUCUUCAUUUUCGACGAGCGGUGAAAAUGGUUCGGCGCGCAGCUUCUAGCACACCAUCAACGGCAUCAUGUGCGCUCUCGAUGUCAUGCACCACCUCGUGGAAGCAGAAGCACCCACAAGCCCUAGUGCGGCUUCGGCUGUUUCUAAUAGGGCUGUCAACGGGCCGAGCUACUCGGGCUCGGCUCGGUAAAAGCCCGGCUCGAGUCGGCUCGU
Phoenix dactylifera (date palm) is the source of this 1877-nucleotide long non-coding RNA. RefSeq lists it as uncharacterized. The record is from RefSeq and is a predicted model, not a curated record. Lineage: Eukaryota; Viridiplantae; Streptophyta; Magnoliopsida; Arecales; Arecaceae.